GGGGUUGUGGCUCAAUGGUAGAGCGCAUACCUAGCAGGCCUGAGGCAUAGGGUUCGAUCCUUAGCACCA
Molecule: transfer RNA, 69 nt
Filed under: Marmota monax (woodchuck)
Lineage: Eukaryota; Metazoa; Chordata; Mammalia; Rodentia; Sciuridae
Description: tRNA.Ala
Source: RNAcentral